CGGACGGGUGAGUAAUGUCUGGGAAACUGCCCGAUGGAGGGGGGUAACUACUGGAAACGGUAGCUAAUACCGCAUAACGUCGCAAGACCAAGAGGGGACCUUCGGGCCUCUUGCCAUCGGAUGUGCCCAGAUGGGAUUAGCUAGUAGGUGGGGUAACGGCUCACCUAGGCGACGAUCCCUAGCUGGUCUGAGAGGAUGACCAGCCACACUGGAACUGAGACACGGUCCAG
Molecule: ribosomal RNA, 230 nt
Filed under: uncultured bacterium
Lineage: Bacteria
Description: partial 16S ribosomal RNA
Rfam family: Bacterial small subunit ribosomal RNA
Source: RNAcentral